CCGAACCGUUGAGCGUUGAAAAGCUCUCGGAUGACCUGUGCCUAGGGGUGAAAGGCCAAUCAAACUUAGAGAUAGCUGGUUUUCUGCGAAAUCUAUUUAAGUAGAGCGUUUAAAUAACUGUAUAAUAGGGUAGAGCACUCAAUAAACUAGGGGGACUUAACGUUUUACUGAAUUUAAUGAAACUCCGAAUAUAAUAUAUAAGAAUUUAAGCAGACAGACUAUGGGUGCUAAGAUCCAUAUGUCAAGAGGGAAACAGCCCAGACUACACGUUAAGGUCCCUAAGAAUAAUUAAGUGAGAAAGAUUAUAAAAAAAUUUAAACAACUGGUAGGUAGGCUUGGAAGCAGCCAUCCUUUAAAGAAA
RNAcentral lists this ribosomal RNA (361 nucleotides) under Leptocylindrus danicus. Its description in RNAcentral is "partial Bacterial large subunit ribosomal RNA". It matches the Rfam family "Bacterial large subunit ribosomal RNA", at positions 774 to 1131 of the family's 2925-position model. Lineage: Eukaryota; Bacillariophyta; Leptocylindrophyceae; Leptocylindrales; Leptocylindraceae. The record is from RNAcentral.